This 66-nucleotide transfer RNA is filed under the name Mesophleps albilinella. RNAcentral describes it as "tRNA-Ala". The record is from RNAcentral. Lineage: Eukaryota; Metazoa; Arthropoda; Insecta; Lepidoptera; Gelechiidae.
AGGAUUUUAGUUUAAAAAAAACAUUUGAUUUGCAUUCAAAAUUUAUUGUAAAAACAAUUUAUCUUA